Molecule: ribosomal RNA, 466 nt
Filed under: uncultured bacterium
Lineage: Bacteria
Description: partial 16S ribosomal RNA
Rfam family: Bacterial small subunit ribosomal RNA
Source: RNAcentral
GACGAACGCUGGCGGCGCGCCUAACACAUGCAAGUCGAACGAUCGAGAGAUAGCUUUCUUUCUCGAGCGAGUGGCGAACGGGUGAGUAACGCGUGAGGAACCUGCCCCAAAGAGUGGGACAACAGUUGGAAACGACUGCUAAUACCGCAUAAGCCCACGGCUUGGCAGCGAGGAGGGGGAAAAGGAGCAAUUCGCUUUGAGAUGGCCUCGCGUCCGAUUUGCUAGGUGGUUUGGUAACGGCCCACGUAGGCGACGAACGGUCGACGGACUGAGAGGUUGCACGACCGCAUAGGGACUGGGACACGACCAAGAAUGGUACGGAGGGCAGGAGAGGAGAGUAUUGCAGGAUGGGGGAAACCCUGAUGCAGCGCGGCCGCGUAGAGGGAGAAGGGAUUCGGAUAGUAAACUCCUAUUGAAGGGGAAGAUAGUGACGGUACCAAGCAAGGAAGUGACGGCUAACUACGUG